UUUUUCUUGAUGAUAUAUCUAAACUUACAGAAUUUUGAAACUUGCACUAACGAUAUUAGGGUGAUAUAUCUAAACUUUACUGAAUUUUGAAGAAACUUGCUACAAAUCAUUACUUAUUUAGGUGAUAUAUCUAAAGUUACAGAAUUUUGAAACUUGCACUGACGAUUUUUCUACACACGCACCAACUAUUCUGUGAUUUUUCAUGGACUGAAGAUAGAAUACGCACCAAACUAAUAUUAAGUCUGGUACAGAAAUUCUCUAUUCUUGAACUGACAAUAUUUCUUCUAUGUGGAAUACACAAGAUCUCCCCAAUUGGCCAUGAUGCAGGCAUCGCCGCAGACAAUACUUGGCGCACCGGAGAACCUGUACUAUUCGAUUUGUCGAGAGAGGACUGAGGGAACACGCCAGCGUUAGGGUGGCGGAUGCAAGUAUUGGAGUUCAGCCUAAAAUCACAAGAAAAUGGAUCAAAAUGAAUUCAAAUUGAUUUCUAAUCAUUUAUCAAGCUAUAAAAGUUAGAACUGAUGUUACACAAACCGAGGCAUUUUUUAUAUGAACAGCUCACGUAAUAUGUAUAGUACCACUGUUUUUUCAUUCUCUUGAACAAAUAACCAUAGACUAACGAGAGAAUGUAUUACUCAACAGUAGGCAUUUUCUUCUCAGAACCACUUUGGUGUUCUUUUCUUUUUCUUCACUUUUUGCUCUGCUUGGUUUUUUCUUUGCUUUAUGAAGUGCCCCAUCAGAAAAGUUGAACUUUAGAUUUUACCAAUCUCCACAUCUACUGAAACAAGGGAGCUCCUUUUGAAACAUGUACAAUGAAUUGAGAAGGCAUAUACAAGGUCAACUGAAAAACCAUAUACAAGGUGAACCGGAAAAGCUUCUGAGAAAAAAAAGUGAACCAACCUUUUGUUGUUUUUCUAGUUACUAAACUACUCCCUCUGUCCCCUAAUGUAAGACGUUUUUGCAGUUCAAUUUGAACUCCAAAAACGUCUUGUAUUAUGGGACGGAGGGAGUACUUAUUACCAUAACAGCGGCUGAACUGAUGCUGCAUAUGUAUAUAGGAAGGUUACUGGUACCAAAAAAAUAGGACAGUAAACAACAUUAUAAAUUGAAUUCCUGAAUGUUAUAUGAAGAUGAGGCAAUUGUACAUAUGAUUUGGCAUUAGAUGUACUGAAUAGCACACAUAAUAUGGACUGAAAAAAUUGAACUAGCACAACUAUUCUGCUUUUGAAGAUGGUGGCUUCAAUUCUACAUGGACUGAUGUCCGUGCUCCACUUGGACGGGUGCGAAUAACCAUGGUGGACGAGCUCGUGGCCGAGGGUGGCCAAGGCGACCACCGGAGACUGUAGGUGGUCGUGCUUGUUCUCGGCAACGAACUUACAUGAGGUGGUGGUGAUGGCCGAGGAAGUCAGAAAUCAGCGCUGAACUAAUAAAAUAAGAAUUGUACUAACUAAAAAUUAGAAUUUGAACUGAGCGUGUCACUGAAGAUGAACUUGUGCAUCUGUUUUUUGCUCCCGCACCAGUGUAACAAAUUCAAGAUGACAUGAAUUUUGUGUGCAUAUAAUAAGAUGAAUGAGUGAGAGAAGAAAGAGAGCAAUAAAAGGAUAUUUUUUUUCACCUUGAGAUGAUAUCUCUUCUUGAGGUCUUGAUCAAAAGUGACGGUGUAGGUACCACAUAACCACCAACUAAACACCAGACCUUAACAAACGAUGAUCUCUCCUUCCAGAGUCUGAACUUACUAGCUUUUCAUAAUCUGAAGAGGUGUAAACCUUUAUUGGCAAACUGCUGCAAAAUCCCCAAAUGCCAUAUAACAUAAAAUCCCCAAACUGCAGCAACAUUCAGUUCAAGAUAAGUUAUCAAUUCAGCUCUUAAUAAGCAAGAGAAACAGUAAAGAAAGGAUGCAUUUGCGUCAUCGGGCCAUUCUUUAGGCACACUAAAACAAACAUGCCACUCAUGUUAAGUAUUCUUUCCAAUAAAAUUUCUAGAGUAUCUUUGUUUAAACGUACUGUGGGGCGAACUUUUUCAUUGUGUAGUUUUUGAACCCCUAUGGUAGUAACACAUGAACUCCCUGAGGACACGAAUUCUUAUAUUAGCACCUAAAGUACAGAUCACACAUGAAAAUUGCUCUAAGUGGAGAAAUGAUCACACACGAAAAAUGAUAAUUGCAGGAAAACUUUUAUUUGAAAAAAGCUCUCUGUAUACCUUAUUGAACUAGCUUUUUUGAACUUGCACACUUUCAUUUCUGCACUUAUCCAAAAUGUUUGAAAGGAGCAGGUUGUUUGACAUUAUUUUGAACACACCUUUUCAUCUCCACUGUAUGGUAUCCUCCCAUAGGUAUUUGCACAAACAGGUGGUGUGCUAUGAAGAACAAUGGUACUAUGAGCGAGUGAAAUUAGAACUGAAACUCGUUACAAAUUCUUGACAAAAAGGAGCAGCAGAUAACCAUUAGUCCAUUACUCACGACAAACAAAACUCACCCCGUACAUAGCAAUUUCAUAAAUCUGCACGCACCUUGGGGAUUCCACUCGACCUAGACACUGAAUCAACUAUGACAGAUUGCUGUGAACCUUGCGAAUUGUGCUCCCUUUUCUUGGCAUGAGUGGUUGGAGCAGUAGCAGAAUUUGGUGCCUGCAUAUAUAUUUUGGACUGAUGAUCUUUUAGUCAUUGCACUAUUUUUGAUAUAUAAUCGAACCGAAAUAUAACCGCUACCAAGUCUGCACCACCAAGUACCUGCAUGAGUUCAGUUUUUUUAGACCAUAGUUCAAAGCAGUAAGGUUGCAAGUUCAAACAGUCAACGGACCAAAAAUUGUUUAAACACCAAUGUUGGAUACGCAUCAGUUUAGAAUCAGCAAAAACACAAGUUCAGUAUCAACACGACACACGUUCAGCUAUAGUUAACUUGAAAUGAACAGAAAGAACAGAAGACCACACCAUGUAAUUUAGACAUUUGGUAUAGUCUGAACUCUGACCAAAACUUACUAGAAGAGUGAUUAUUUUUUCAGCUAGUAGUUCGGAAGCAAUUUCAGAACACCAUACAUUUUUAGCUAGUGAAACGUGCGAUGAAGAACUGAACUCAAUAAACAAGAUUUUUGGAGAUGGAAGAAGGCGUCGCACGUCGGGUGAACCUGCUACCCCUACUCCUGUGGACUGACGGCUCUGGUGAGUGGAGCUGAUGGAGGCGGGGUUCACGAGCAGUGGCUGGGCGCACCGGGAUUUGGCCGCUGCAGGUGAUCCACGCUCGGGCUCGUGGUGGAGAAGACCACACCAAACUUUUUCAAUGAACUUCUAUUUUUUUGUGUUUGAACUUGCAAACUUUACAAAUAAGUACUUAUCUCACUUGUCUUUUUACUCACAAUGGGAUCAGAAGUGCACACAUAGAAGCAUUAACACAAGUAUCAGAUGUGGAAAACAACAAAAUUUAAAGCUAAACAAAUAAAUGUGCAAACAGAAAAACCUACAACUGACGGGCAUGAUCUCCUCAAUGAGCCAUGAUGCAGGCAUUGCCGCCGGCAAUACUUGGCGCACCGGAGAACCUGUACUGUUGGAUUUGUCGAGAGAGGACUGAGGGAACAUCUCCCUGCAGUUUAAUGUGACAAUGUAGUUCAUCUGCUCAAGAGGAAACCAAU
This 3623-nucleotide long non-coding RNA is filed under the name Triticum aestivum (bread wheat). RNAcentral's name for it is "long non-coding RNA (TAES_LNC027529)". The record is from RNAcentral. Lineage: Eukaryota; Viridiplantae; Streptophyta; Magnoliopsida; Poales; Poaceae.